This 4977-nucleotide long non-coding RNA is filed under the name Nicotiana tabacum (common tobacco). RNAcentral's name for it is "long non-coding RNA (NTAB_LNC018246)". The record is from RNAcentral. Lineage: Eukaryota; Viridiplantae; Streptophyta; Magnoliopsida; Solanales; Solanaceae.
AAGAAUUACAUAACACUUCAUUUUGAUAUCUUGAAUACAAGACACAUGAUAUUUCCCUCGUUCCACUUUAGGCUCUCGAUUGUGGUCCAAUACUGCUUGUUAAGCAUUUUCCUUUUUGGCACAUAUGCUACGUGAUUUUGGGGUUCUGUUCAUACGAUCUAUUUCAGAGAAGUAGAUAUACGAAAGGGUGUUCAGAAAGAUGGAGCAACAACUCUCUUCUCUUUCUUAUUUCUUCUACGCAAAGCAUCUUCGUAAAUGACAGGUAGGGAGGUUAUUUCACCUUUAUUAAACUUGUUCGGUGAUUGCUAGUCAUUUUUCCUUAGAAAUUAUCUUGCAUUUGUGGAGUAAUUCGGUCAGUAUUAGUGUUCUGGACUUGUCCAAAGCAUAGCUAAGUUUAGUAAUCACUCAACACCUUAGGAAUAACAGCGCAAGAAGUACUAUUGUGAUGAUCUGAUUGACAAAACUUGGUUGUGGAUAAAGACAAAGAAGGUGAACUUAAGUCUAGAGGUUGUAAAUUAACUCAUUCCUUAGCUGGUUGCUAUUGAGUAUUGCUUCUGUUCCAUUUACCAUUUGAUUGGAAAUGGAAGUUAAGACGUUAAUUUGAUUUGUGUAUCAUGUUAUUAGUAGUGGAGAAUCAUAUCAUAAUAACAAUUACAAAGCUGGUUUAAUAUUUAGAAAAAUGUUAGAUCGAAAUGUAAAAGAUCGAAUAGUUUAACUUAUUUGCAUUCUUGAAAGUCGUAUAAGCAGAAUAUUACAACCUUGUGACGGACCAUGGAACGCGAUGUCGAUAUUCCUCCCUUCCUUCUUUUGGCAUGAUCCAUACGAUACGAACGAAAUAUGCAAAUGCACAAAUUCCAUGAAUGAUUCUAUUCAUAGAAGUAUUAGAGACAUCUAUGUUCUUGAAUUUCCGUGUGUCGUAAUAUUUUAUCAUCUGUUCAUGGGUCUCAGAAAAAAAUAUGAAAGUUGAAAAGAGUUUACUUUAUGAUAUUACUCAAAGGCAAAAUGGUCUUAUAAAGCUCGGAAAGAUUUUAUUAACGUACUUUUCAAGCAUUGCAUUCAUGUGCAUUGACCCAUGACCAGAUGACGUUAUAUACGCGUAUAUAUGUAUGUAUAUGUAUAUGGGAUAUAGGAAAAGGUUACGGCGUUAUAUACGCACCACCACCUGAUCAGCUGGUAUAUGAUGAUGAUGAUGAUGAUGUUGCCCACAGUGGCUGAAAUAUGAUUCAAACGACGUUAUAUACGCGUAUAUAUGUAUGUAUAUAUAUGUAUAUGAGAUACGGGAAAGGUUAUGACGUUAUAUACGCACCACCACCUGAUCAGCUGGUAUACGAUGAUGAUUCUUCCCACAGUGGCUGAUAUAAUAUGAUGGGAUGCCCUCAGAGGCUGAUGAUGUUAUGAAACAUGUACCUAUGCACGACAUGACAUUCAUAUGCAUAUGCAUGACACUAUAAGUAUUUCAUGAAUUACAGAGUUAUCCAGACUUACAGGUUGAGUCAUUUACUCUAUAUUUCUUCCAUGUCUUUUAUGUACUUAUUUAUGUGCCUUACAUACUCGGUACAUUAUUCGUACUGACGUCCCUUUUGCCUAGGGACGCUGCAUUCAUACCUGCAUGUAUAGACAAUCAGUUUGACGAGCCCUCAUAGUAGACGAGAUAGGCAUUCAACGAAUGAUCAGUAAGACUCCACCUCAUUCGGGGUGCAGUCGAGUCUAUGAGUUAUCGUGUCAGAGUUUUGCUACAGACUUAUGGGUAGGCCGGUACCCUGUCCCAUUUGAUGUCAAAUAAUCUUAUAGACUUUGUAGACAUAGGUUCACUUUGUAUAGUAUAUCAGAGGCCUUGAUGGCCCAUAUGUAUUUAUGUUUUAAGAAAAAAAUGAUUCAGAAAUACAAUAUUAUUCACUUACAAUUGUACAUUACGAGUUGUGGCUAUGUUGCCACAUGAUAGUUACAAAGGGAAUGAAUGAGUUUCAGAGUGGUUUGCUCGGGCCAGUGUGGCACCGGGUGCCAGCCACGCCUCCUAAGGUCGGGGCGUGACGGAGAUAUUGUAUUAGAAUUUUUUAAUACUAAAAAUCAGUUAGCGAAUAUUUUUACAAAACCUUUACUUGAAGAAAGAUUUUGUUUCCUUCGUAACAAAAUUGGUAUUUGUACAAUUCCCGCAUAACCGUGUUUAAUGUUUUCCUUAAUUUUCUAAGUUUAUUUUUUUACCAUAUAUUUUCUCGUGAUUUUCGCCCCCAAAAUCUUUUAAGUACUUGAUUAGUCUGUACAUGCAUUUAUUGUGAAACGACGGCGGGCUUGCAGAAGGCAACUUUUUAGUUGUCCUUCACAUGUCUCUCUGAGAAUCGACGCAACCUCUCUGAUCCUUUUUAACCCCUUUUCCCUCGAUCAUAUCUCCCAUUAUCUCAAAGAAACUAAAUUCCUAUCUCUCUGUUUUCUUCUACUCAUGGCCAAAGCCAAACCCUCUCCCUUUUCCUCCACACCCAGAAGAAGCCAUCACCUCAAGAAAACCAAAGAUGACCAUGUUGAUAUAGAAUCCUUAGAAAGCACAGAUCAUCUAUUGACCGAAGAAGAUUCGAGUGACUAUCAAGAAAACAUCCUCAUCUCCCAAAAGAGGGCAGAAAAACAACCAAAUGAGUCAAUCCCAAAACAUUCUUCUCCGAAAAAGGGAAAAACUAAAAGUGUAGAGUUUGGUCCCGAAGACAAGAUGAACUUCUAUAGCCCUAGGCUAGGUUUGUUGCCUUCAAAGGAAAGUCGAUUGCUUUUGGCCGCACUGUAUGUUUAAAGUCUAUGCAAAACUCUCACUGUGAUGUUAUGUCUGUUUUUGAAGCUCAAAAGCUUGUCUCUCUAUUUACUAGUAUUAGUGAUACUGUCUAUGAAGAGCCUGUGCGUAUGUUUUAUGCAAAUCUGUUUGUGAAUGAUAAAGAUAAUCUAGAAUCCAUGGUCUUAGGAACUCGUAUUAUUCUUGACUCUUAUCAGUUUGAGAAAAUCUUUGCACAGUUUGUUGGGUACAUCUUUUUUGUGCAACAUUCCUGGCCAAAUAAUUUUGAAGUGUCAUUUGAGGAAGCCAAGAGUGUGUUGUCUGAAAGCCCCUCUCAUAUAGGACUAAAGAAUUUGAAAUUUGAACAUUGUGUUCUAGCCCACAUUAUUGCGACCAUUUUGCUACCCUGUAUUGGUUCACUGGGCACUCUGUCUCUCGUAUUUGUUCUAUAUUGUUUGGUAAAUGGUAAAGCUAUCAACUGGUUUGCCUAGGUACGUCAGUACAUGCUUGAAAGUAUUAGGGAUAUUUCAUCUUCUGCAAACAGCUUGCCCUAUGGUUUACUAAUCUCUUACAUCUUGAAAGUUAUGAAAGUGGAUAUAUCUCUCUAUGCUCCUAAAACUAUCUCCAACACCUAUGACAAGACUGUCUUUGCCAUGAUGAGGUAUGUCUUGAUUAAGGGAACAUGGCUUAAGAAAGACAAAGCACCAGAGUUCAUUCCUACCCAGAGCAUUGGAGGGAUCAAAUUUGAAGCCAGCAAAUCCUCUUCCUCAAAUCAGCUGACGUUGAUGCAGCAAAACAUUGUAGGUAUCAAGGAAUUACUAACCUCUAUACAGGAGAAGGUGGACAAAAUCAGGGAAGUAACCAAGGAAACUAGAGAAGACGUGGCUAAGCUAAGGAUCACUCUCCAAGCCACAAGGAGGCAAGGGAUUAGGGCUGUGUAGGAUGUCACUGAGAAGCUGACCAAAGUCACCAAAGAUAUUGAUGCCUCUUAUGACAGUUUAUGCACUAAAGUGAUCAACACCUUGAAAUACUUCCUUGGAAGGAAUUAAGUGUCUAGGAUGCCUAAGACCAUGUUUUAUUUUUUUUUGUUGGUGGUUUUAAGACUAUUUCUUUUGGUUGUGUUUUAAUUGAGUAUGUCAUCGACUAUGCUCACUAUAACUGCUUAGCUAUAAAUAAUUUUUACCUUCUUAUCUAGUACUAUUAUUACAAAUUGUUUCUCUUGCUCUUUUUGAUUGAUAUCAAAGGGGGAGAAGAAAGAAAAAGAGUACAUGUUCUAGACAAAGGGAGCACACUUGAAAAAGGGAAGUAACCAUACAAGAACCAGCUUCAAGACAGGGGGAGCACACUUGAAAAAGGGAAGUACCCAUAAAUUAUUCAAACACUUUUUAGAUCAUCAUCAAAAAGGGAGAUUGUUAAGUUUAGAAUUUUAAUAAUGAUCAAUAAUCCAAAAGAAGCUUUGACUAAUGAUAUAUUCUUGUAUGCAGGAAAGAAGGAAACAAUGAUGAUAGAAGGAAAGAAGAUCCUAUUCAACGGCUAUGUAUUUUGAACUUGGCUAUAUAUGGAAAAUAAAUCAAUCAGCCCAAGAACAAAGAAGGAAAGUCAAUCAAUCAGCAUUGUUAAAGAUUCUCAAAUAUGCAAGAAUGGGAAGAGAGCUAAUCACGGCCGGAGAUCAAAUCUAGAAGAUUCUGCAGAAGCUCAAGUCAAGGAGGAAUGAAGGAAGCCAUUUGUCAAGAUUAUCUCAAAUCAAGGAGGAAUGAAGGAAGCCAUUUGUCAAGAUUAUCUCAAAUCAAGGAGGAAUGAAUGAAGCAAUUCGUUAAGAAUAAAGAUGAAUCUAGAUACCAUUUCAAGCUAGAUUCAUGAGGCUACCCUUGGGUCUUUAUCUUAGAUGUAUAUGCCUCACAUGGAAAGGACUUCUAGAAUUGCUUCAAUACAAUCCCAGAACACAAGGAAGCAGAAGACUCAUCAAGCUAUAAAGGAAGAAGUAGAAGAACAUUCAAAGGCGCGCAACUACAUAAUCUGUUUCUAAGCCUUUUAAGUUCUUAGUACAGAUACUGUAUUCUUGAGUCUAAAAGUGUCACAAAAUAUAUGAAGAGUUAGAGAGAGUUAUGUCAACAUUAAAAAUCAUUGUUGCUGUAUAUCGUUGGUGGUGAAUGAUAAGUUGGUAUUUUACCAACUUAUCUCCUCUUAAUACUUAGGAUUUUGUAUGAUUUUGUUGAGAAACUAAG